This 1521-nucleotide ribosomal RNA is filed under the name Staphylococcus aureus subsp. aureus MRGR3. RNAcentral describes it as "bacterial LSU rRNA". It matches the Rfam family "Bacterial large subunit ribosomal RNA", at positions 1310 to 2830 of the family's 2925-position model. The record is from RNAcentral. Lineage: Bacteria; Bacillati; Bacillota; Bacilli; Caryophanales; Staphylococcaceae.
CGAAAGACGGGUGAGAAUCCCGUCCACCGAUUGACUAAGGUUUCCAGAGGAAGGCUCGUCCGCUCUGGGUUAGUCGGGUCCUAAGCUGAGGCCGACAGGCGUAGGCGAUGGAUAACAGGUUGAUAUUCCUGUACCACCUAUAAUCGUUUUAAUCGAUGGGGGGACGCAGUAGGAUAGGCGAAGCGUGCGAUUGGAUUGCACGUCUAAGCAGUAAGGCUGAGUAUUAGGCAAAUCCGGUACUCGUUAAGGCUGAGCUGUGAUGGGGAGAAGACAUUGUGUCUUCGAGUCGUUGAUUUCACACUGCCGAGAAAAGCCUCUAGAUAGAAAAUAGGUGCCCGUACCGCAAACCGACACAGGUAGUCAAGAUGAGAAUUCUAAGGUGAGCGAGCGAACUCUCGUUAAGGAACUCGGCAAAAUGACCCCGUAACUUCGGGAGAAGGGGUGCUCUUUAGGGUUAACGCCCAGAAGAGCCGCAGUGAAUAGGCCCAAGCGACUGUUUAUCAAAAACACAGGUCUCUGCUAAACCGUAAGGUGAUGUAUAGGGGCUGACGCCUGCCCGGUGCUGGAAGGUUAAGAGGAGUGGUUAGCUUCUGCGAAGCUACGAAUCGAAGCCCCAGUAAACGGCGGCCGUAACUAUAACGGUCCUAAGGUAGCGAAAUUCCUUGUCGGGUAAGUUCCGACCCGCACGAAAGGCGUAACGAUUUGGGCACUGUCUCAACGAGAGACUCGGUGAAAUCAUAGUACCUGUGAAGAUGCAGGUUACCCGCGACAGGACGGAAAGACCCCGUGGAGCUUUACUGUAGCCUGAUAUUGAAAUUCGGCACAGCUUGUACAGGAUAGGUAGGAGCCUUUGAAACGUGAGCGCUAGCUUACGUGGAGGCGCUGGUGGGAUACUACCCUAGCUGUGUUGGCUUUCUAACCCGCACCACUUAUCGUGGUGGGAGACAGUGUCAGGCGGGCAGUUUGACUGGGGCGGUCGCCUCCUAAAAGGUAACGGAGGCGCUCAAAGGUUCCCUCAGAAUGGUUGGAAAUCAUUCAUAGAGUGUAAAGGCAUAAGGGAGCUUGACUGCGAGACCUACAAGUCGAGCAGGGUCGAAAGACGGACUUAGUGAUCCGGUGGUUCCGCAUGGAAGGGCCAUCGCUCAACGGAUAAAAGCUACCCCGGGGAUAACAGGCUUAUCUCCCCCAAGAGUUCACAUCGACGGGGAGGUUUGGCACCUCGAUGUCGGCUCAUCGCAUCCUGGGGCUGUAGUCGGUCCCAAGGGUUGGGCUGUUCGCCCAUUAAAGCGGUACGCGAGCUGGGUUCAGAACGUCGUGAGACAGUUCGGUCCCUAUCCGUCGUGGGCGUAGGAAAUUUGAGAGGAGCUGUCCUUAGUACGAGAGGACCGGGAUGGACAUACCUCUGGUGUACCAGUUGUCGUGCCAACGGCAUAGCUGGGUAGCUAUGUGUGGACGGGAUAAGUGCUGAAAGCAUCUAAGCAUGAAGCCCCCCUCAAGAUGAGAUUUCCCAACUUCGGUUAU